This 502-nucleotide ribosomal RNA is filed under the name uncultured bacterium. Its description in RNAcentral is "partial 16S ribosomal RNA". It matches the Rfam family "Bacterial small subunit ribosomal RNA", at positions 28 to 507 of the family's 1533-position model. The record is from RNAcentral.
GACGAACGCUGGCGGCGUGCCUAAUACAUGCAAGUCGAACGAACGGCGACUAAGUGCUUGCACUAAGUGAAGGUGAGUGGCGAACGGGUGAGAAACACGUGGGUAACCUACCUCAUAGUGGGGAAUAACAGACGGAAACGACUGCUAAUACCGCAUAGGACAUAGGCACACAUGAUAAAGUGAGGAAGGGUGGCGCGAGCCAUCGCGAAGAGAUGGAGCCGCGGUGCAUUAGCUAGUUGGUAGGGUAAAGGCAUACCAAGGCGACGAUGCAUAGCCGACCUGAGAGGGUGAUCGGCCACAUUGGUACUGAGACACGGCCCAAACUCCUACGGGAGGCAGCAGUAGGGAAUCUUCCGCAAUGGACGCAAGUCUGACGGAGCAACGCCGCGUGAGUGAAGAAGGUCUUCGGAUCGUAAAGCUCUGUUGUUAGAGAAGAACAGCUCUUAGAGUAACUGCUAUGCUUGUGACGGUACCUAAUCAGAAAGCCACGGCUAACUACGUG